Molecule: ribosomal RNA, 237 nt
Filed under: uncultured Staphylococcus sp.
Lineage: Bacteria; Bacillati; Bacillota; Bacilli; Caryophanales; Staphylococcaceae
Description: partial 16S ribosomal RNA
Rfam family: Bacterial small subunit ribosomal RNA
Source: RNAcentral
CGGGUGAGUAACACGUGGAUAACCUACCUAUAAGACUGGGAUAACUUCGGGAAACCGGAGCUAAUACCGGAUAAUAUUUUGAACCGCAUGGUUCAAAAGUGAAAGACGGUCUUGCUGUCACUUAUAGAUGGAUCCGCGCUGCAUUAGCUAGUUGGUAAGGUAACGGCUUACCAAGGCAACGAUGCAUAGCCGACCUGAGAGGGUGAUCGGCAACACUGGAACUGAGACACGGUCCAG